UACAGAGGGUGCAAGCGUUGUUCGGAAUUAUUGGGCGUAAGGAGCUUGUAGGCGGUUUGUCGCGUCUGCUGUGAAAUUCCAGGGCUUAACCCUGGGCUUGCAGUGGGUACGGGCAGACUAGAGUGUGGUAGGGGAGACUGGAAUUCCUGGUGUAGCGGUGAAAUGCGCAGAUAUCAGGAGGAACACCGAUGGCGAAGGCAGGUCUCUGGGCCACUACUGACGCUGAGAAGCGAAAGCAUGGGGAGCGAACAGG
Molecule: ribosomal RNA, 253 nt
Filed under: uncultured bacterium
Lineage: Bacteria
Description: partial 16S ribosomal RNA
Rfam family: Bacterial small subunit ribosomal RNA
Source: RNAcentral